RNAcentral lists this transfer RNA (75 nucleotides) under Brevibacillus centrosporus. RNAcentral describes it as "tRNA-Thr". It matches the Rfam family "tRNA". From Rfam's summary of the family: Transfer RNA (tRNA) molecules are approximately 80 nucleotides in length. Their secondary structure includes four short double-helical elements and three loops (D, anti-codon, and T loops). RNAcentral also lists the same sequence under 1 other name. The record is from RNAcentral. Lineage: Bacteria; Bacillati; Bacillota; Bacilli; Caryophanales; Paenibacillaceae.
GCUAGCGUAGCACAGGGGUAGUGCAGCUGAUUCGUAAUCAGCAGGUCGGGGGUUCAAAUCCCUUCGCUAGCACCU